Long non-coding RNA from Rhea pennata, 288 nucleotides. RefSeq lists it as uncharacterized. Lineage: Eukaryota; Metazoa; Chordata; Aves; Rheiformes; Rheidae. The transcript has 3 exons. The record is from RefSeq and is a predicted model, not a curated record.
AGCACAAACUGGACUGUGAUUUGAAUGCAAAUGUUAGGAAAACCCCAGACAUAACUGCACGAUGAUGUCAGCCUGACCGGGACAGUCAGCAACCACCUCUCCUGUAGUACACCUGAGUCAAGCACAGCAUGGAAACGUAGCGGAGGCCGUCCUGCAGUGCGAGCACUCGUGCCCUGCCAGCUCACUGGCUGGGCGAAGGGGAGCAGGCAAGUCCCUUUAUAAAGUCAAGAAAACCUCAACCCUUUUCUCUGAAUACAGUUGUGACUUUAUUUCAUAUGACCUGCUGCC